GACGAACGCUGGCGGCGUGCUUAACACAUGCAAGUCGAACGGAAAGGCCCUGCUUUUGUGGGGUGCUCGAGUGGCGAACGGGUGAGUAGCACGUGAGUAACCUGCCCUUGACUUUGGGAUAACUUCAGGAAACUGGGGCUAAUACCGGAUAGGAGCUCCUGCUGCAUGGUGGGGGUUGGAAAGUUUCGGCGGUUGGGGAUGGACUCGCGGCUUAUCAGCUUGUUGGUGGGGUAGCGGCUUACCAAGGCUUUGACGGGUAGCCGGCCUGAGAGGGUGACCGGCCACAUUGGGACUGAGAUACGGCCCAGACUCCUACGGGAGGCAGCAGUGGGGAAUAUUGCACAAUGGGCGGAAGCCUGAUGCAGCAACGCCGCGUGCGGGAUGACGGCCUUCGGGUUGUAAACCGCUUUCGCCUGUGACGAAGCGUGAGUGACGGUAAUGGGUAAAGAAGCACCGGCUAACUACGUG
Molecule: ribosomal RNA, 468 nt
Filed under: uncultured bacterium
Lineage: Bacteria
Description: partial 16S ribosomal RNA
Rfam family: Bacterial small subunit ribosomal RNA
Source: RNAcentral